This 1006-nucleotide long non-coding RNA is filed under the name Olea europaea subsp. europaea. Lineage: Eukaryota; Viridiplantae; Streptophyta; Magnoliopsida; Lamiales; Oleaceae. The record is from RNAcentral.
CGUGUGUCAUCUUUUAAUUAUUAUUAUUUUGUUUUGUUUUAUUAUUAUUUUCUUGUGAAACUAGGAUGAAAGCAAAUUGGAUUAGUUUAUUAGAUUCUCACGUGAAUUCUGGUGCAAUUCAAAUUACUAGAUAGAGUCCUACCUAGGAUGAAAGCAAAUUGGAUUAAUUAUUAGAUUUCUGUGUGAAAUUUUGGUGCAAUUCAAAUGGCUAGACAGAGUCCAACUUUCAAAAGGAGACCUUCGAAACUACUGCGUCCACAUUGAAAUAAAAUUUCUUCCAUUAAUAUAAUUUUCAUACAGUACACGCACCUUCAUUCAAAGAGAAAAGUUUUAAAAAAAUUUUGGUCCGACGUAGCCAUUACAUUAUCUCCGUGAACUAAGGUAGGAUCCCUAUGCGAAAUUGUCAUUAUAUGAAUUUAAUAUUCAAUUAAGUAUGUAUUCGUUAUAUUUGCAUGAAGUAUAUAAAGUACCUUUGGAGCUUUCUCCUAAAUUUUGAUGAAAAAAAGGUUUAUAUAUGUUUAAACUGAUGGUCGUAGAGACUCAUCAAAACUUUAAGUAUAUAUGUUAAACUAAUGGUCGCAGAGAUUCAUCAUACCCUUACGUAGAUCAUUUGAUCAUCGAUUUAUCUAUUUAUGAAGGCAACAUAUAAGAAUGCAUGAUUAAAUGUAUGAUUAUUAUGUUCAUAUAGUACGUGUAGCUUAUUGAGUAUUUCUUUGAGAUUCUCACUCUUAUUUAACCCUUUUUAGAAUAAUCGGAGAUUAGGUGAUGGAUUGACAUGAAUGACAUGUACUAUUUUUAGAGAAAUUUAUUCUUAUAUUUCAGAUUGCCACUUUUAUGUUUAAUAAUUAUUUGAAGUCCCUGAGAUUGUAGUUUGAAUUCAUGUUUUGAGACGGAAAGGUUUUAAUGUUCGUGGGUGCGUUUUAUUUUUUCUUUUUUUUUUCUUUUUUUUUUUUCUUUUGGAAGAUUUCAGAAUUUUGCCACUAUUUUUAACACGGUACUAUGGUCG